AGUGGCGGACGGGUGAGUAACGCGUGAGGAUCUGCCCUUAGGUUGGGGAUAACAGUUGGAAACGACUGCUAAUACCCAAUGUGCCGAGAGGUGAAAGGUUUACUGCCUGAGGAUGAGCUCGCGUCCGAUUAGCUAGUUGGUGGGGUAAUGGCGUACCAAGGCGACGAUCAGUAUCUGGUUUGAGAGGACGAUCAGACACACUGGAACUGAGACACGGUCCAGACUCCUGCGGGAGGCAGCAGUAGGGAAUUUUCCGCAAUGGGCGAAAGCCUGACGGAGCAAUACCGCGUGAGGGAUGACUGCCUAUGGGUUGUAAACCUCUUUUUUCAGGGAGGAACAAAAUGACGUGUACCUGAAGAAUAAGCAUCGGCUAACUCCGUGCCAGCAGCCGCGGUAAGACGGAGGAUGCAAGUGUUAUCCGGAAUUACUGGGCGUAAAGCGCCUGUAGGUGGCUCGAUAAGUCAACUGUUAAAUCUUGAAGCUCAACUUCAAAAUCGCAGUCGAAACUAUCGGACUAGAGUAUAGUAGAGGUAAAGGGAAUUUCCAGUGGAGCGGUGAAAUGCGUAGAUAUUGGAAAGAACACCGAUGGCGAAAGCACUUUACUGGGCUAUUACUGACACUCAGAGACGAAAGCUAGGGUAGCAAAUGGGAUUAGAUACCCCAGUAGUCCUAGCCGUAAACAAUGGAUACUAGGUGUUG
This 699-nucleotide ribosomal RNA is filed under the name uncultured diatom. RNAcentral describes it as "bacterial SSU rRNA". It matches the Rfam family "Bacterial small subunit ribosomal RNA", at positions 94 to 825 of the family's 1533-position model. The record is from RNAcentral. Lineage: Eukaryota; Bacillariophyta.